GGGUUGUGAGGUUAAGCGACUAAGCGUACACGGUGGAUGCCCUGGCAGUCAGAGGCGAUGAAGGACGUGCUAAUCUGCGAAAAGCGUCGGUAAGGUGAUAUGAACCGUUACAGCCGGCGAUGUCCGAAUGGGGAAACCCAGUGCAAUUCGUUGCACUAUCGUUAACUGAAUACAUAGGUUAACGAGGCGAACCGGGGGAACUGAAACAUCUAAGUACCCCGAGGAAAAGAAAUCAACCGAGAUUCCCCCAGUAGCGGCGAGCGAACGGGGAGCAGCCCAGAGUCUGAAUCAGCUUGUGUGUUAGUGGAACGGUCUGGAAAGUCCGACGGUACAGGGUGAUAGUCCCGUACACCAAAAUGCACAGGUUGUGAACUCGAAGAGUAGGGCGGGACACGUGGUAUCCUGUCUGAAUAUGGGGGGACCAUCCUCCAAGGCUAAAUACUCCUGACUGACCGAUAGUGAACCAGUACCGUGAGGGAAAGGCGAAAAGAACCCCGGCGAGGGGAGUGAAAAAGAACCUGAAACCGUGUACGUACAAGCAGUGGGAGCACCUUCGGGUGUGACUGCGUACCUUUUGUAUAAUGGGUCAGCGACUUAUAUUCUGUAGCAAGGUUAACCGUAUAGGGGAGCCGCAGGGAAACCGAGUCUUAACUGGGCGUUAAGUUGCAGGGUAUAGACCCGAAACCCGGUGAUCUAGCCAUGGGCAGGUUGAAGGUUGGGUAACACUAACUGGAGGACCGAACCGACUAAUGUUGAAAAAUUAGCGGAUGACUUGUGGCUGGGGGUGAAAGGCCAAUCAAACCGGGAGAUAGCUGGUUCUCCCCGAAAGCUAUUUAGGUAGCGCCUCGUGAACUCAUCUUCGGGGGUAGAGCACUGUUUCGGCUAGGGGGUCAUCCCGACUUACCAACCCGAUGCAAACUACGAAUACCGAAGAAUGUUAUCACGGGAGACACACGGCGGGUGCUAACGUCCGUCGUGAAGAGGGAAACAACCCAGACCGCCAGCUAAGGUCCCAAAGUCAUGGUUAAGUGGGAAACGAUGUGGGAAGGCACAGACAGCCAGGAUGUUGGCUUAGAAGCAGCCAUCAUUUAAAGAAAGCGUAAUAGCUCACUGGUCGAGUCGGCCUGCGCGGAAGAUGUAACGGGGCUAAACCAUGCACCGAAGCUGCGGCAGCGACACUAUGUGUUGUUGGGUAGGGGAGCGUUCUGUAAGCCUGCGAAGGUGUGCUGUGAGGCAUGCUGGAGGUAUCAGAAGUGCGAAUGCUGACAUAAGUAACGAUAAAGCGGGUGAAAAGCCCGCUCGCCGGAAGACCAAGGGUUCCUGUCCAACGUUAAUCGGGGCAGGGUGAGUCGACCCCUAAGGCGAGGCCGAAAGGCGUAGUCGAUGGGAAACAGGUUAAUAUUCCUGUACUUGGUGUUACUGCGAAGGGGGGACGGAGAAGGCUAUGUUAGCCGGGCGACGGUUGUCCCGGUUUAAGCAUGUAGGCUGAUUGUCCAGGCAAAUCCGGAUAAUCAAGGCUGAGGUGUGAUGACGAGGCACUACGGUGCUGAAGUAACAAAUGCCCUGCUUCCAGGAAAAGCCUCUAAGCAUCAGGUAACAUCAAAUCGUACCCCAAACCGACACAGGUGGUCAGGUAGAGAAUACCAAGGCGCUUGAGAGAACUCGGGUGAAGGAACUAGGCAAAAUGGUGCCGUAACUUCGGGAGAAGGCACGCUGGUGUGUAGGUGAAGUCCCUGCGGAUGGAGCUGAGACCAGUCGAAGAUACCAGCUGGCUGCAACUGUUUAUUAAAAACACAGCACUGUGCAAACACGAAAGUGGACGUAUACGGUGUGACGCCUGCCCGGUGCCGGAAGGUUAAUUGAUGGGGUUAUCCGUAAGGAGAAGCUCUUGAUCGAAGCCCCGGUAAACGGCGGCCGUAACUAUAACGGUCCUAAGGUAGCGAAAUUCCUUGUCGGGUAAGUUCCGACCUGCACGAAUGGCGUAAUGAUGGCCAGGCUGUCUCCACCCGAGACUCAGUGAAAUUGAACUCGCUGUGAAGAUGCAGUGUACCCGCGGCAAGACGGAAAGACCCCGUGAACCUUUACUAUAGCUUGACACUGAACAUUGAGCCUUGAUGUGUAGGAUAGGUGGGAGGCUUUGAAGCGUGGACGCCAGUCUGCGUGGAGCCAACCUUGAAAUACCACCCUUUAAUGUUUGAUGUUCUAACGUUGGCCCCUGACCGGGGUUGCGGACAGUGUCUGGUGGGUAGUUUGACUGGGGCGGUCUCCUCCCAAAGCGUAACGGAGGAGCACGAAGGUUAGCUAAUCCUGGUCGGACAUCAGGAGGUUAGUGCAAUGGCAUAAGCUAGCUUGACUGCGAGCGUGACGGCGCGAGCAGGUGCGAAAGCAGGUCAUAGUGAUCCGGUGGUUCUGAAUGGAAGGGCCAUCGCUCAACGGAUAAAAGGUACUCCGGGGAUAACAGGCUGAUACCGCCCAAGAGUUCAUAUCGACGGCGGUGUUUGGCACCUCGAUGUCGGCUCAUCACAUCCUGGGGCUGAAGUAGGUCCCAAGGGUAUGGCUGUUCGCCAUUUAAAGUGGUACGCGAGCUGGGUUUAGAACGUCGUGAGACAGUUCGGUCCCUAUCUGCCGUGGGCGCUGGAGAAUUGAGGGGGGCUGCUCCUAGUACGAGAGGACCGGAGUGGACGCAUCACUGGUGUUCGGGUUGUCAUGCCAAUGGCACUGCCCGGUAGCUAAAUGCGGAAGAGAUAAGUGCUGAAAGCAUCUAAGCACGAAACUUGCCCCGAGAUGAGUUCUCCCUGAGACUUUAAGUCUCCUGAAGGAACGUUGAAGACGACGACGUUGAUAGGCCGGGUGUGUAAGCGCAGCGAUGCGUUGAGCUAACCGGUACUAAUGAACCGUGAGGCUUAACCUUACAACGCCGAAG
This 2923-nucleotide ribosomal RNA is filed under the name Klebsiella pneumoniae. Its description in RNAcentral is "23S ribosomal RNA". It matches the Rfam family "Bacterial large subunit ribosomal RNA". Lineage: Bacteria; Pseudomonadati; Pseudomonadota; Gammaproteobacteria; Enterobacterales; Enterobacteriaceae. The record is from RNAcentral.